RNAcentral lists this ribosomal RNA (219 nucleotides) under uncultured fungus. RNAcentral's name for it is "partial small subunit ribosomal RNA". The stretch from base 93 to 219 matches the Rfam family "Eukaryotic small subunit ribosomal RNA", at positions 735 to 864 of the family's 1831-position model. The record is from RNAcentral. Lineage: Eukaryota; Fungi.
GGUCGUGGGUCUCGGUCCGCCCCUCGCGGGGUGUUGUGCCAGGGACCUGCAGCCAUCCUCGGGGAGAGCAUGCCUGGCAUUUAGUUGUCGGGUAUGGGAUCCUCGUCAUUUACUGUGAGCAAAAUAGAGUGUUCAAAGCAGGCUUAGGCCGUUGAAUACAUUAGCAUGGAAUAAUAAGAUAGGACCUUGGUCUAUUUUGUUGGUUUGCAUUCCAAGGUA